GCUAAUGUAGCUUAAACAAAGCGUACCGCUGAAGACGGUAAGAUAGGCUCUAAUAAAGCCCCAAUAGCA
Molecule: transfer RNA, 69 nt
Filed under: Lepturacanthus savala (Savalani hairtail)
Lineage: Eukaryota; Metazoa; Chordata; Actinopteri; Scombriformes; Trichiuridae
Also listed under: 1 other name
Description: tRNA-Phe
Source: RNAcentral